UCCAACGUGGUGCACAGCGCACGCUUGCGGCAAUUGCGCGCUGUUUAUUCGACGAUACUGCAGGAGUCCCGGGUUCGACUCCCGGCGUUGGAA
Non-coding RNA from Mycena metata, 93 nucleotides. The record is from the annotation of a GenBank genome assembly. NCBI's taxonomy places the organism in Eukaryota, Fungi, Basidiomycota, Agaricomycetes, Agaricales, Mycenaceae.